AGCUUUGCACAGUGGCAGUAUCUUAGCCAAUGAGGUUUAUCUGAGGCACGACUAUUGUUAAUUGAAAACAGUAUCACCCAGUCAAUUUAGUGAUUUUCAUCCAACAAGGAUAACAGAUAUGCAGGGGAAAUCACUUAGGAACCAGACUUUUCCUACCCAUUUCCUAAGU
Small nuclear RNA from Ochotona princeps (American pika), 169 nucleotides. Its record names the gene U4. It matches the Rfam family "U4 spliceosomal RNA". Rfam says of the family: U4 small nuclear RNA (U4 snRNA) is a component of the major U2-dependent spliceosome. The structure of U4 snRNA from yeast and human has been reported. U4 snRNA presents a k-turn RNA motif in the 5p-SL related to recognition of Snu13 protein. The record is from Ensembl. Lineage: Eukaryota; Metazoa; Chordata; Mammalia; Lagomorpha; Ochotonidae.